GGCGGGACCUGGCUCGCCGGAAGAGGAAGGAGCGGCGCUAUGCAAAGCGUGGUAUCACUCCGCUUCCGUAAAGCCGGAUCCCCUUCAACUCCCCUCUAGCCACUCUGGUUGUCGGUGUUGUUUUUUGGGAUGAGGCGAGACAAAGUCUGCUGAGGAAAUGGUGGCUGUUAAAGAUUUACUAGGAGCGGGUCCCUGAGAUGUCCUGGGGACAAGAAGAAGGAAAUAUCAAAAAGUGACAAUCGUAUGCCAAUUGCGGUCCUUCAUCUGAUAAAGUAGGUAUCUCGUCCUGAGUCCCAGGUGCCGGGCCGGUCUCCAAACAGUCGGCGCCAUUGUCUCAUGUCCUUGAGCUCAUCUGACUGUCUGUCCCUCUCUCGUAGGUGUCUGCACCCCUUCGAGGCAAGGAAAUGAGAAAACUACUUCUCAUCCAAGCGGAGCAGGUCAAUGAAGAGGCGGGCACUGCUUGGGAGUGUGGAUACGGGUGUCAGAGCGAGUGGUCGGUGCUGCAGCCUGCACAUCCUCUGCUGGGUUUGGCGCCGCGGUGCAGUGGGCCACACGCCUCUUUGCUGUUCUACCCGCACGCCGAGCGGUGGGAAGCGAAAGAGAAACUGCGACCGGAGUGGGAGGACGACCACCGGGACCUUGCGCCUCCGAAGGCCUGCUUUAAGUCUGGUCACUUCUGCAAGGAAGGAAAGGAGGAGGAGUCCGGUUCAAAUCUCUGGAGAUUGACUUCCAGUGGCAGCUCUGGUGGUGUUGGAAUUGCUGCUGAGCACUACCUUCAACAGGUGUGUACCUACCCAGGAACCAUCCAUCCUCUCCCAGCUUGGUUGUGUUUUCUCUUCACUCUGACUGUAAUAUUGACUGAGGCUGGGAUUGGAAAGGAGGCUUAUUGACUGCUGGACUGGUGAUUGGCUCUAACUUUUCUUUCCAACUGUAUCACCUGAGUCAUCAAAAAAUUAGAGUGUGAAGAUACAAAACUGUGAGAAAUCUGUGGUAGAAGCUGAGACUGGGAUAGUUGUAGUUAUUCAG
Molecule: long non-coding RNA, 1026 nt
Filed under: Cervus hanglu yarkandensis (Yarkand deer)
Lineage: Eukaryota; Metazoa; Chordata; Mammalia; Artiodactyla; Cervidae
Description: lncRNA (ENSCHYG00000017469.1)
Source: RNAcentral